GAGUUUGAUCCUGGCUCAGAACGAACGCUGGCGGCAGGCUUAACACAUGCAAGUCGAACGCUGUGGCAACACAGAGUGGCAGACGGGUGAGUAACACGUGGGAACAUACCCUUUGGUUCGGAAUAACUUGGGGAAACUUAAGCUAAUACCGGAUACGCCCUUUUGGGGAAAGGUUUACUGCCGAAGGAAUGGCCCGCGUCCGAUUAGCUAGUUGGUGAGGUAACGGCUCACCAAGGCGACGAUCGGUAGCUGGUCUGAGAGGAUGGCCAGCCACAUUGGGACUGAGACACGGCCCAAACUCCUACGGGAGGCAGCAGUGGGGAAUAUUGGACAAUGGGCGGAAGCCUGAUCCAGCCAUGCCGCGUGAGUGAUGAAGGCCUUAGGGUUGUAAAGCUCUUUCGCACGCGACGAUAAUGACGGUAGCGUGAGAAGAAGCCCCGGCUAACUUCGUGCCAGCAGCCGCGGUAAUACG
RNAcentral lists this ribosomal RNA (472 nucleotides) under uncultured eubacterium WR841. RNAcentral describes it as "bacterial SSU rRNA". It matches the Rfam family "Bacterial small subunit ribosomal RNA", at positions 9 to 527 of the family's 1533-position model. The record is from RNAcentral.